UUGAAAGGGAAACGAUUGAAGUCAGUCAUGCUGGUGGGAAUCAACUUAGGGGAAACUCUGGGUGCACUUCUUCGCUUGGCAGGUCAACGUCGAUUUUGAAUGUCAUAAAAUAAUUGGGGGAAGGUAGCUCCUUCGGGAGUGUUAUAGCCCUUGAUAGAUGUGAUGUUUGAGGUCGAGGAUUGCAACGGAUACCCUUUGGGGCUAGCUGCCUGAUCUCUAAUUGGUGUUGGGUUACGGAUAGCAUGCUGACCGUGAUCUAAUUACUGGUUAAAAGGUUAGAGUGUGCAUAAAUUCGUUAAGGAUGUUGACGUA
RNAcentral lists this ribosomal RNA (312 nucleotides) under uncultured Glomeromycotina. Its description in RNAcentral is "LSU rRNA". The record is from RNAcentral. Lineage: Eukaryota; Fungi; Glomeromycota.